UUGUAGGGCACACAAUCAUAAAAGGCUGAAUCCCAUGGAUCCAGGUGACAGGUGCCAUGAUUUGCCCUAGAGGGAGGGUGUGAUACUUCUGGAGGGAUUUAUAGUAUGACUUGGACAUAGGAGGAAGCUGGAACCAGGAAUGACAACUUCCAGGGCCAUGAACUGUGGCCUCUCUGCCACCCUGCCUUGGAGCCAGCUGAUGAUGGACUGAACCUCUAUAAACUAUAAAUGGAAAUGUUUUUCUUCUUGGAAAAAGUGAGCAUUCUUCAAAGUAAAUGACUGACCUUGCUGUACAUGUUUACCAUGAUCACACAGCUUGUGGAAAUUUGUAAAUGAUAUUUCCAACCGUGAAUUUAAUGAUAAAUUGGGCAUAUCU
Molecule: non-coding RNA, 376 nt
Organism: Heterocephalus glaber (naked mole-rat)
Lineage: Eukaryota; Metazoa; Chordata; Mammalia; Rodentia; Bathyergidae
Source: RefSeq, a predicted model, not a curated record